GUGCCAGCAGCCGCGGUAAUACGAAGGGGGCUAGCGUUGCUCGGAAUUACUGGGCGUAAAGCGCACGUAGGCGGUCUUUUAAGUCGGGGGUGAAAUCCUGGAGCUCAACUCCAGAACUGCCUUCGAUACUGGAAGACUCGAGUCCGGGAGAGGUGAGUGGAACUGCGAGUGUAGAGGUGAAAUUCGUAGAUAUUCGCAAGAACACCAGUGGCGAAGGCGGUUCACUGGCCCGGUACUGACGCUGAGGUGCGAAAGCGUGGGGAGCAAACAGGAUUAGAUACCCCGGUAGUCC
Molecule: ribosomal RNA, 292 nt
Filed under: uncultured bacterium
Lineage: Bacteria
Description: partial 16S ribosomal RNA
Rfam family: Bacterial small subunit ribosomal RNA
Source: RNAcentral